This 465-nucleotide ribosomal RNA is filed under the name uncultured bacterium. RNAcentral describes it as "partial 16S ribosomal RNA". It matches the Rfam family "Bacterial small subunit ribosomal RNA", at positions 28 to 507 of the family's 1533-position model. The record is from RNAcentral.
GACGAACGCUGGCGGCGUGCUUAACACAUGCAAGUCGAACGGAAAGGCGCCUUUGGGGGUACUCGAGUGGCGGACGGGUGCGUAACACGUGAGUAACCUGCCCUUGACUUCGGGAUAACUUCAGGAAACUGGGGCUAAUACCGGAUAGGAAUCCUUGCUGCAUGGUGGGGGUUGGAAAGCUUCGGCGGUUUUGGAUGGACUCGCGGCUUAUCAGCUUGUUGGUGGGGUAGUGGCUUACCAAGGCUUUGACGGGUAGCCGGCCUGGGGGGGCGACCGGCCACCUUGGGACUGAGGGACGGCCCAGACUCCUACGGGAGGCAGAAGGGGGGAAUCCUGACCAAGGGGCGGAAGCCGGAUGAAGCAAGGCCGCGGGCCGGAUGACGGCCUUCGGGUUGUAAAACGAUUUCAGCAGGGGCGAAGCUUGUGGUGACGGUACCUGCAGAAGAAGCACCGGCUAACUACGUG